This 565-nucleotide ribosomal RNA is filed under the name uncultured bacterium. RNAcentral describes it as "bacterial SSU rRNA". It matches the Rfam family "Bacterial small subunit ribosomal RNA", at positions 102 to 653 of the family's 1533-position model. The record is from RNAcentral.
ACGGGUGAGUAACACGUGGGCAACCUGCCCUUGAGACUGGGAUAACUUCGGGAAACCGGAGCUAAUACCGGAUAAUAUAAGGAACCUCCUGGUUCCUUAUUGAAAGAUGGUUUCGGCUAUCACUUAAGGAUGGGCCCGCGGCGCAUUAGCUAGUUGGUGAGGUAACGGCUCACCAAGGCGACGAUGCGUAGCCGACCUGAGAGGGUGAUCGGCCACACUGGGACUGAGACACGGCCCAGACUCCUACGGGAGGCAGCAGUAGGGAAUCUUCCACAAUGGACGAAAGUCUGAUGGAGCAACGCCGCGUGAGUGAUGAAGGCCUUCGGGUCGUAAAGCUCUGUUGUUAGGGAAGAACAAGUGCGAGAGUAACUGCUCGCACCUUGACGGUACCUAACCAGAAAGCCACGGCUAACUACGUGCCAGCAGCCGCGGUAAUACGUAGGUGGCAAGCGUUAUCCGGAAUUAUUGGGCGUAAAGCGCGCGCAGGUGGUUUCUUAAGUCUGAUGUGAAAGCCCACGGCUCAACCGUGGAGGGUCAUUGGAAACUGGGGAACUUGAGUGCAGAA